AUAGAGUAGUGAUGUAAAUCCAUAGGAUGUAAUAUAACCCAGCAAAGACAAAUCCGAAAGCAAUGCUCCCAAAUCCUGUUAAGCUAUUGUGAAAUGGAAAUGCCAGCCACCAAAACCCACUUCGGACGUAAUAAGCGUACCCAAGAUGUCUCCAAUUUUUUACUGACUGAAACAACGCAGAGAAUAAGAAGAAACACAUC
Molecule: long non-coding RNA, 200 nt
Filed under: Elaeis guineensis (African oil palm)
Lineage: Eukaryota; Viridiplantae; Streptophyta; Magnoliopsida; Arecales; Arecaceae
Description: long non-coding RNA (EGUI_LNC033001)
Source: RNAcentral